CAGCAGCCGCGGUAACACGUAGGGUGCAAGCGUUAAUCGGAAUUACUGGGCGUAAAGCGUGCGCAGGCGGUUAUAUAAGACAGAUGUGAAAUCCCCGGGCUCAACCUGGGAACUGCAUUUGUGACUGUAUAGCUAGAGUACGGCAGAGGGGGAUGGAAUUCCGCGUGUAGCAGUGAAAUGCGUAGAUAUGCGGAGGAACACCGAUGGCGAAGGCAAUCCCCUGGGCCUGUACUGACGCUCAUGCACGAAAGCGUGGGGAGCAAACAGGAUUAGAUACCCCCGUAGUCCCUGUCUCUUAUAC
Molecule: ribosomal RNA, 301 nt
Filed under: uncultured bacterium
Lineage: Bacteria
Description: partial 16S ribosomal RNA
Rfam family: Bacterial small subunit ribosomal RNA
Source: RNAcentral